This 1360-nucleotide long non-coding RNA is filed under the name Sus scrofa (pig). RNAcentral describes it as "lncRNA (ENSSSCG00035024114.1)". Lineage: Eukaryota; Metazoa; Chordata; Mammalia; Artiodactyla; Suidae. The record is from RNAcentral.
CGCAGCUCGGAUCCCACGUUGCUGUGGCUCUGGCGUAGGCCGGUGGCUACAGCUCUGAUUAGACCCCUAGCCUGGGAACCUCCAUAUGCCACAGGUGCAGCCCUAAAAAGGAUAAAAGACAAAAAAAAAAAAAAAGCACAAGCAUAAGUUUCUGAUAAUUCAUAGAUGUGCCCUACUCAGCUUUUUCUUGUGCUACUGCCAUAGGUGAUGAUCAAGACUUCAGCCAUAGCUGCCUUGGAGAUAUCUAUUAUUGUCCCAAAGGAGGCUGAGCAUGACUGUACUACCAGACCAUCACAGACAAACUGCAGAAAAGGCAUAUAUAUGCUCAAAGUCUUAAUCACCGUCAGCAAGUUUUCCUGAGAAAUAUGACCGUUUUCAAAUUUCACAGAGCUGAAAGAAUGGUUGAGGGUAUCACAGACUUACAGAUUUUUGAAUUGGAAAGAUAAAUUCCCUGCUUUCAGGUGAGAGUAAAGAAGUCCUGACACAAUUUACUUAUAACUGUCCAUCCUUUGUUGUUUGUGGAGGAAUAAGCAUAAAUAGAAGACAAUAGAGUAGGGGAUUAUUGGCAGAGAUUGCCAAAGGAUAAGGAAAGUGGCCAUCUGGUUAGUGUUAGGGUUUGCACAGGUAUACUAGAGAAAAACAGAAAAGUUGUAUAGAUAGAUACAGAAUCCAGAAGCAGAAACCAACAAAGGGACUGUGGUUCACAUGAAGUAUUAAGGGGGACAAGGUAAAGGCCUGUUUGGAGAGGCAAUGAUGCAACUAGUACCUACUAAUUUAAGACAGAAAAAUCCCUUUGCAAUAUAAUUAAACAGGCUUUGAUCUUAGGAAUGCAUUUCUGAAACAUAGCCUGACAUCAAGACAAUGCUUAUUCCAACAAAACUUUGUAAGUUUCAGUCGCUGCAGAACUUUGUAAGCUUCAACACCUGCAGUGUAGCAGUGGCUAUGUUAGAAUGAGGUGAAGCAGGACAACUAAAAGUAGGAAAUCAGUAGAAUCAAGUGGGUGGCUAAAAGAAAUAUCUUAAGUGUCAUUGAGGAUUACACUUAGAAAAUUAGAUCUAACUAUAAAUGCAGGGAAACUGCACUGGUGAUAUAGAGAGGUAAGUAGAAGUUUCUCAUCUGAACAAAGGUGUCCUUCUGACUAGGAAAAGUUCUUUGUGGUGAUAACAUAUUCAAAUGGUAUUACCCCAGGAUACCUAGGGCAGUGAGGGUAAGGUAGUUCAGCAAUGUCUUCAUUAUGGUUUUCUUUUCAUAUGUGCUGGAUAAUAAUAUAUUUAUUCAACAAACAUGUUUAAUUUAUUGAGUCAUAUAUUUGAUAUAUUAUAAAAAUAGAGAGGAAUAUGGCAGAGUCACUUACCCUUGA